AGCCCAUGGUGAGGGCACCUUCUCAAGAGGUCCUUGUAUCUCUCCCAUGCAUCAUAGAGCAUUUCUAGAUCCAUCUGCACAAAAGAAGAGAUAUCAUUCCUUAAUUU
Molecule: non-coding RNA, 107 nt
Organism: Gossypium hirsutum (cotton)
Lineage: Eukaryota; Viridiplantae; Streptophyta; Magnoliopsida; Malvales; Malvaceae
Source: Rfam